UACGUAGGGUGCAAGCGUUAAUCGGAAUUACUGGGCGUAAAGCGUGCGCAGGCGGUUAUGCAAGACAGAUGUGAAAUCCCCGGGCUCAACCCGGGAACUGCAUUUGUGACUGCAUAGCUAGAGUGCGGCAGAGGGAGAUGGAAUUCCGCGUGUAGCAGUGAAAUGCGUAGAUAUGCGGAGGAACACCGAUGGCGAAGGCAAUCUCCUGGGCCUGCACUGACGCUCAUGCACGAAAGCGUGGGGAGCAAACAGG
RNAcentral lists this ribosomal RNA (253 nucleotides) under uncultured bacterium. RNAcentral describes it as "partial 16S ribosomal RNA". It matches the Rfam family "Bacterial small subunit ribosomal RNA", at positions 524 to 776 of the family's 1533-position model. The record is from RNAcentral.